GUGCGGCUAUGAAGUAGGAGGUUGCGACACACCCGGUUGCAUUGCCACGCAACCUAUGUCGGUUUUCCUAUGGAGCUAAGCCUAUUUUCAAAAUAGACGAAGGAGGUA
Pilibacter termitis is the source of this 108-nucleotide non-coding RNA. NCBI's taxonomy places the organism in Bacteria, Bacillati, Bacillota, Bacilli, Lactobacillales, Enterococcaceae. The record is from Rfam.